AGCAGCCGCGGUAAUUCCAGCUCCAAUAGCGUAUAUUAAAGUUGUUGCAGUUAAAAAGCUCGUAGUUGAAUUUCGGGAUCAAUAUGUUGGUCGUGCCAUUGGUACGUACUGGCAUUAUUGGUUUCUACCUUCUGAAGAACCUCGAUGUCAUUAAUUUGGUGUCUUGGGAAAUCAGGACUGUUACUUUGAAAAAAUUAGAGUGUUUAAAGCAAGCUCGCGCUUGAAUACAUUAGCAUGGAAUAAUGAAAUAGGACGUUUGAUUCUAUUUUGUUGGUUUCUAGGAUCGACGUAAUGAUUAAUAGGGAUAGUUGGGGGCAUUAGUAUUCAAUUGUCAGAGGUGAAAUUCUUGGAUUUAUUGAAGACUAACUAUUGCGAAAGCAUUUGCCAAGGAUGUUUUCAUUAAUCAAGAACGAAAGUUAGGGGAUCGAAGACGAUCAGAUACCGUCGUAGUCUUAACCAUAAACUAUGCCGACUAGGGAUCGGAUGAUGUUAAUUUUUUAAUGACUCAUUCGGCGCCUUACG
This 522-nucleotide ribosomal RNA is filed under the name uncultured Glomeraceae. RNAcentral describes it as "SSU rRNA". It matches the Rfam family "Eukaryotic small subunit ribosomal RNA", at positions 569 to 1092 of the family's 1831-position model. The record is from RNAcentral. Lineage: Eukaryota; Fungi; Glomeromycota; Glomeromycetes; Glomerales; Glomeraceae.